This 928-nucleotide long non-coding RNA is filed under the name Capsella rubella. RNAcentral describes it as "long non-coding RNA (CRUB_LNC000403)". Lineage: Eukaryota; Viridiplantae; Streptophyta; Magnoliopsida; Brassicales; Brassicaceae. The record is from RNAcentral.
UAUUCUUAGAUAUUAUAAUCCCAAACAACACUAGAUAAGUCAUUUAGUGGUUCAACGCAAUGUUUCCGAGUUCUUAGCCCAUUUGGGACCCAAUUUCAACAAGUCUUUCUCCAUUCUUCUAAACACUCUUCAUGCAUCUCCAGCACUUGUAAUCAAUCAAAUUCAUUGUAUUCUAAUAUAUAAUAACCCCAAACAACACUAGAUAAGUCAUUUAGUGGUUCAACGCAAUGUUUCCGAGUUCUUAGCCCAUUUGGCACCCAAUUUCAACAAGUCUUUCUACACACUUCUAAACACUCUUCAUGCAUCUCUAGGUCUUGUAAUCGAUCAAAUUAAAUGUAUUUUAACAUAUACUAACCCCAAAAUACAGUAGAUAAGUCAUUUAGUUGUUCAACGCAAUGUUUCCGAGUUCUUAGCCCAUUUGGGACCCAAUUUCAACAAGUCUUUUUACACACUUCUAAACACUCUUCAUGCUUCUCUAGCACUUGUAAUCAAUCAAAUUCAUUGUAUUCUAACAUAUUCUGACACCAAACAACACUAGAUAAGUUUUUUAGUGGUUCAAACGCAAUGUUUCUGAGUUCUUAGCCCAUAUGGGACCCAAUUUCAACAAGUCUUUCUACACACUUCUAAACACUCUUCAUGAAUCUCUAGCACUUGUAAUCAAUCAAAUUCAUUGUAUUCUAACAUACUCUAACCUUAAACAACACUAGAUUAGUCAUUUAGUCGUUCAACACAAUGUUUCCGAGUUCUUAGCCCAUUUGGAACCCAAAUUCAACAAGUUUUUCUACACACUUUUAAACACUCUUCAUGCAUCUCUAGCACUUGUAAUCAAUCAAAGUUAUAGUAUUCUAACAUAUUCUCACCCGAAACAACACUAGAUAAGUCAUUUAGUGGUUCAACGCAAUGUUUCUGAGUUCUUAGCCCAUUUGGG